AAUAAGUGCAGUUUUGCACUAUUCAUUUUCAACGUUUGACCGUUCAUCUUAUUUGAAAAUUUUUUAUGAUUACUAUUUUUAUUGUUAUUAGAUGAUAAAAUAUAAAUGGUACUUUAUAUGUGACUAAUUUUUUUAAAAUUUUUUAUAAAUUUUUCAAAUAAGACGGACGGUCAAACGUUGGACACGGAUUUCAAUGACUGCACUUAUU
Non-coding RNA from Oryza barthii, 208 nucleotides. Lineage: Eukaryota; Viridiplantae; Streptophyta; Magnoliopsida; Poales; Poaceae. The record is from Rfam.